This 191-nucleotide transfer-messenger RNA is filed under the name Rickettsia rickettsii str. 'Sheila Smith'. RNAcentral's name for it is "transfer-messenger RNA Ricke_ricke_Sheila". It matches the Rfam family "Alphaproteobacteria transfer-messenger RNA", at positions 148 to 355 of the family's 355-position model. From Rfam's summary of the family: Bacterial tmRNA, also known as 10Sa RNA or SsrA, is named for its dual tRNA and mRNA-like properties. Its role is to liberate the mRNA from a stalled ribosome. The record is from RNAcentral. RNAcentral also lists the same sequence under 8 other names. Lineage: Bacteria; Pseudomonadati; Pseudomonadota; Alphaproteobacteria; Rickettsiales; Rickettsiaceae.
GGGGGCGAAAUAGGAUCGACGUGCCUAAUAAAAAGAUUGCUUUUACUCGGGAUGAUUCCGCCGAUGGCUUGUGCCAUAUGGGUCAAAACAAAGAAACGCAAACGAUAAUAAUCGUUCUGUAGGUCGUUUAGCUUUAGCAGCUUAAUCCUACGCGGCUGGAGGGUGUGCCGGGCAACAGAAAAACCCUCACU